This 923-nucleotide ribosomal RNA is filed under the name Haplographium catenatum. RNAcentral describes it as "eukaryotic LSU rRNA". It matches the Rfam family "Eukaryotic large subunit ribosomal RNA", at positions 1 to 941 of the family's 3401-position model. The record is from RNAcentral. Lineage: Eukaryota; Fungi; Ascomycota; Leotiomycetes; Helotiales; Hyaloscyphaceae.
UUGACCUCGGAUCAGGUAGGGAUACCCGCUGAACUUAAGCAUAUCAAUAAGCGGAGGAAAAGAAACCAACAGGGAUUGCCUCAGUAACGGCGAGUGAAGCGGCAACAGCUCAAAUUUGAAAUCUGGCUCUUUCAGGGUCCGAGUUGUAAUUUGUAGAAGAUGCUUCGAGUGUUAGCCUGGUCUAAGUUCCUUGGAACAGGACGUCAUAGAGGGUGAGAAUCCCGUAUGUGACUAGUGCUCUCGCUCAUGUGAAGCUCUUUCGACGAGUCGAGUUGUUUGGGAAUGCAGCUCAAAAUGGGUGGUAAAUUUCAUCUAAAGCUAAAUAUUGGCCAGAGACCGAUAGCGCACAAGUAGAGUGAUCGAAAGAUGAAAAGCACUUUGGAAAGAGAGUUAAACAGUACGUGAAAUUGUUGAAAGGGAAGCGCUUGCAACUAGACUUGCAUGCCGUCGAUCAUCCGAGGUUUUCCCCGGUGCACUCGGCGGUGUUCAGGCCAGCAUCGGUUUGGGUGGUUGGAUAAAGGCCUUGGGAAUGUAGCUUCUUUCGGGGAGUGUUAUAGCCCUCGGUGCAAUGCAGCCUACCUGGACCGAGGACCGCGCUUCGGCUAGGAUGCUGGCGUAAUGGUUGUAAGCGACCCGUCUUGAAACACGGACCAAGGAGUCUAACAUCUAUGCGAGUGUUUGGGUGUCAAACCCAUACGCGUAAUGAAAGUGAACGGAGGUGAGAACCCUUAAGGGUGCAUCAUCGACCGAUCCUGAUGUCUUCGGAUGGAUUUGAGUAAGAGCAUAGCUGUUGGGACCCGAAAGAUGGUGAACUAUGCCUGAAUAGGGUGAAGCCAGAGGAAACUCUGGUGGAGGCUCGCAGCGGUUCUGACGUGCAAAUCGAUCGUCAAAUUUGGGUAUAGGGGCGAAAGACUAAUCGAACC